RNAcentral lists this ribosomal RNA (253 nucleotides) under uncultured bacterium. RNAcentral describes it as "partial 16S ribosomal RNA". It matches the Rfam family "Bacterial small subunit ribosomal RNA", at positions 524 to 776 of the family's 1533-position model. The record is from RNAcentral.
UACGUAGGGUGCGAGCGUUAAUCGGAAUUACUGGGCGUAAAGCGUGCGCAGGCGGUUUUGUAAGACAGGGGUGAAAUCCCCGGGCUUAACCUGGGAACUGCGCUUGUGACUGCAAGACUCGAGUGCGGCAGAGGGGGGUGGAAUUCCACGUGUAGCAGUGAAAUGCGUAGAGAUGUGGAGGAACACCGAUGGCGAAGGCAGCCCCCUGGGUCGACACUGACGCUCAUGCACGAAAGCGUGGGGAGCAAACAGG